Molecule: long non-coding RNA, 3166 nt
Organism: Benincasa hispida (wax gourd)
Lineage: Eukaryota; Viridiplantae; Streptophyta; Magnoliopsida; Cucurbitales; Cucurbitaceae
Source: RefSeq, a predicted model, not a curated record
AUUAUAUCAACUAGAUAUCAAAACUACUUUUCUUCAUGGACAUUUAGAGAAAACAAUCAAUAUGAUGCAACCUAAAGGAUUUGACGUUAAAGGAAAAGAAAAUCUCUUUUGCUUACUCAACAAGUCUAUAUAUGGGUUAAAACAAUCACCUAGGUGCUGGUAUAAGAGAUUCAUGCCUAUAUUUCUAGCAUUGGGUUCAAAAAAAGUUCAUUUGACAUAUGUGUUUAUGUAAAUACAGGUUCUUACAAGAAUAAUGUUUACCUACUCAUAUAUGUAGAUGACAUGUUGCUAGCAGAUAGAUCCAAAGGAGAUCUAACCUAUGUUAAAAACCUCUUAAAAGGAGAGUUUGAUAUGAAAGACUUAGGAGAAGCAAGUAAGGUCCUAGGAAUAGAGAUCCAAAGGAACAAAGAGGAGUCUAUUCUAAGCAUUAACCAGUCUAAUUACUGUGAGAAGAUCCUUAAAAGGUUCAACAUGAAUGAUGCAAAACCUGUGAUCUUACCUAUUGCUCAGCACUUUAAGCUUUCCUCAGCUAACUCUCCUAAAGAUUUUGACCAAGAACAUCUGAAACAGAUGGCUUUCAUUCCCUAUAGUCAAGCAAUCAGAAGCCUAAUGUAUUUAAUGAUUUUUACCAGACCCGAUCUCUUAUAUUCAGCUAGCUUAGUUAGUAGAUAUAUGUCUAAUCCUGGUAAGAGACACUGGGAAGCUACUAAACGGAUCCUAAGGUAUUUGGUUUGGUCUAAAAACUCAAGAUUAGUCUACUAAAGGUCAACUGAACCAAAUUUAGAGCUUUAUGGAUAUGUGGAUGCUGACUAUGCUGGUGAUUUAGACAAAAGGAGGUCCUUAGCAGGUUACCUUUUCCUUUAUGGUCCUAAUCUAAUCAGCUAGAAAAUAUCACUACAACCUAUAGUAGCCUUAUCUACAACAGAAGCUGAAUACAUGGCUUUAACAGAAGCAAUCAAAGAGGCAUUGUGGCUCAAGGGAUUGCUAAAAGACUUUGAAAUAGAUCAAAUAGUGGUGAAACUCUAUUGUGACAACCAAAGUGCUAUCCAUUUGUCUCAAAUUCCACAAUUUCACACUAGAACUAAGCACAUUAAUAUCAAGUAUCAUUUCAUUAGAGAUAAAAUUGAGACAGAGGAGAUAAAACUUUUAAAGUUUCAUACUUCAGACAAUGCAACUGACAUGUUAACAAAACCUGUUUCAAAGUUUAAAUUGUUUAAAUGUUUAGAACAUGUUGGCUUUGAGCUUCCAGACACAAGGUAGACAAAUCGGUCAACAUUAGGAAGAUCAGAAGAUUGCAAGGCAUUAGAGUUAAGGUGGACAAUUUGAAGAAGCUUUGACUCAAAUACCUCAGUUUUUUGUUUGUUUAUAACUAACUUUGUAAACGGUCAGCUGGUAUACUCUAUAAAUGCCUCUGAUUUUAAAUUAAACAGAGAGAGUUAUCAUCAUUUUCCUUAGUUUUCUAUAAACAACAAAACUGUACGCAAUCUUCAUCAGUAAAGGAAUUCAGAUCUUCCCGUGGACGUAGGCAAUCUUGUCGAACCACGUAAACAUUGCGUCUUCAUCUUCUUGCCUUAUCUUUCUUGUUCAUACGAGUGUUUUCUUUACUGCAAAUCACGCGCCAUUCAUUCAUCAUUCAAAUCGCAUCGAGUAAUUUGAAUAUCGAGUUUAUCGUCCAUCGUUCUUCACAUCGAGUAGCUUCAAGUACGUCGUUUUCACCUUCAAGUCGCAUCGAGUAUCGUUCAAGAACCGUCGAGUAUGAUCGAUUAUUAGUUCAGUUGUCACCGAGUUCCAUCGAGGAUUUAAUAGAGACUCGUCAGACGAAGAAGGAAAUUCUCAUCGAGGAUUGAGUAGGAAGACAUUGAGCAUCGAGGGUCGAGAAGACAUUGAGCAUCGAGGGUCGAGUAUUAAGGAUUUGGCAGAAUAUUUCUGAGCCUUUUCUUCAUCUUUCCAGUGUUGAUCUUGGGUAUUUAGGCCUUGUGAAGAGUGGUUAGCCCAACACGUUCAUCUCGGGUCAAUAUCCAAAUAGAGCACAUAAGCAUGAGCAUGGAUCAGUCUUGCUCAUAUCAAGGUAGGGGAAACCACAAGGCUACCUAGAUAGAGCACGAACAAGGCUCACAAAAUUUCUUUGUUCAUUAUCUAAGGACUUCACCCACACAACUAGGUUUAGACCAAGGUUCUGAUACCAAUUGAUAAGGACAAUGGACCUCCAUAUAUUUCCACAAUGAUAUGAUAUUGUCCACUUUGGGUAUAAACCCUCGUGACUUUGCUUUUGAAAUUACCUCAAAAGGCCUCAUACCAAGGGAGAUAACUAUAAUCACUCCCUUCCUUGUUCUUAUGUUAGUAAUUCAAAUGCAAGUCUAUUUUUAGUUACUUUGAAUCAACCUUUACAAAUGGUAAACUCUUUAGUCAAAGCAUUGCAACAUUAUCAAUUGAAGACAUCUUCUCCAAUUUUAUCUUUCCUUCAUAGAUAGCAUGUCUGAUAAAAUUAAAAUGGACAUUAAUGUACUUUGUUCUCUCAUUGUAAAUCUAUUUUGGACAGAAAAGCAAAACUUUGACUAUUACAAUAAACAAGAAUUUGGGUUUUCAAACAAAUACCUAAUUCUUCAAUCAAUUCUUUCAACCAGAUUGCUUCUUUGAAAGCUUAUGUCACUGCCGUACCUUCAGAUUCUAUUGUUGAAGGAUAAACAAUAUGUUGAAGAGAAGAACACCGGCUAAUUAUAUUCCUAAGAUAGAUCUCAGUUCCAAAACAGAAAGCAAUUUGAUGCAGAGAAGACACACGAAUGAUCUUUGCUAGGUGAAACGCUUGGAUGAAGGAAAGCGACGUAAAGAACUUAUUCUUCACACAUGUGGAGAGGUGGAUCUAAUACAUAACGAUUGAUGAGUAAAGGAAAGGAGGAGAAGAACACAAAAGAUACGUGGUUCGGCCAAAAUCAACCCACAUCUGCAAGAAGGAUUUUCUUUAAGGAUUGCAAGUUAAGUUUCUAUUUAUUUUAUGAAAUGAUAAACUCUCUACUGAUUAUCCAGAUUUGAUUUGGUAUUUAUAGGUUAUACCAAUCAGUUACAAGUUUGUAAGUUUGUUGAGAAAAAGCAAAAAACUAGUCGUUGGAGUCAUUUUAUAUUAAUUUUCCAACUUGAAUCCAAUAUAUGAAACCUUUAAAUUGUUCAA